RNAcentral lists this ribosomal RNA (459 nucleotides) under uncultured bacterium. RNAcentral describes it as "partial 16S ribosomal RNA". It matches the Rfam family "Bacterial small subunit ribosomal RNA", at positions 339 to 795 of the family's 1533-position model. The record is from RNAcentral.
CUACGGGGCGCUGCAGUGAGGAAUAUUGGUCAAUGGGCGCGAGCCUGAACCAGCCAUCCCGCGUGCAGGAUGACGGCCCUAUGGGUUGUAAACUGCUUUUCUAUGCCAAGAAACCCUGUUACGAGUAACAGGUUGCCGGUAGCAUAGGAAUAAGCAUCGGCUAACUCCGUGCCAGCAGCCGCGGUAAUACGGAGGAUGCAAGCGUUCUCCGGAUUCAUUGGGUUUAAAGGGUGCGCAGGUGGGCUUGUAAGUCAGUGGUGAAAUGCUGCCGCUUAACGGUAGAACUGCCAUUGAUACUGCGAGUCUUGAGUAUGGUUGAGGUAGGCGGAAUGUGUUGUGUAGCGGUGAAAUGCAUAGAUAUGACACAGAACGCCAAUUGCGAAGGCAGCUUACUAAGCCAUUACUGACGCUGAGGCACGAAAGCGUGGGGAGCGAACAGGAUUAGAUACCCCUGUAGUC